UACAGAGGUCUCAAGCGUUGUUCGGAUUCAUUGGGCGUAAAGGGUGCGUAGGUGGCGGGGUAAGUCAGGUGUGAAAUUUCGGAGCUUAACUCCGAAACUGCAUUUGAUACUGCCUUGCUUGAGGACUGGAGAGGAGACUGGAAUUCACGGUGUAGCAGUGAAAUGCGUAGAUAUCGUGAGGAAGACCAGUGGCGAAGGCGGGGUCUCUGGACAGUUCCUGACACUGAGGCACGAAGGCCAGGGGAGCAAACGGG
RNAcentral lists this ribosomal RNA (254 nucleotides) under uncultured bacterium. RNAcentral describes it as "partial 16S ribosomal RNA". It matches the Rfam family "Bacterial small subunit ribosomal RNA", at positions 524 to 776 of the family's 1533-position model. The record is from RNAcentral.